RNAcentral lists this ribosomal RNA (497 nucleotides) under uncultured bacterium. Its description in RNAcentral is "partial 16S ribosomal RNA". It matches the Rfam family "Bacterial small subunit ribosomal RNA", at positions 28 to 507 of the family's 1533-position model. The record is from RNAcentral.
GAUGAACGCUGGCGGCGUGCCUAAUACAUGCAAGUCGAGCGAACAGACGCGGAGCUUGCUCCUCUGUCGUUUGCGGCGGACGUGUGAGUAACACGUGGAUACCCUCCCUAUCUUCCUGGGAUACCUUCGGGACACCGGCUCUAAUCCCGGAUAAUAUCUUUAUCCGCAUGGUUCAAUAGUGAAUUACGGUUUUGCUUUCACUUAUAGCUUGUUCCCCGCCUCAUUAGCUAGUUGGUAAGGUAACCGCUUACCAAGGCAAUGAUGCGUAGCCUACCGGAGCAGGUGAUGGGGGACACUGGAAGUGAGACGCGGUACAGACACCUAGGGGAGGCAGAGGUAGGGAAGCGUGGGAAAUGGGCGAAAGACUGAAGGAGCAACGCAGCGUGAGUGAUGAAGGUCUGCGGAUCGGAAAACUCUGUUAUGAGGGAAGAACAAAUGUGUAAGUAACGAUGCACGACGUGACGGUACCUAAUGAGAAAGCAACGGCUAACUACGUG